UCCAACACCAAUAAAAUCAGUCCUAUAGAAU
RNAcentral lists this non-coding RNA (31 nucleotides) under Mus musculus (house mouse). Lineage: Eukaryota; Metazoa; Chordata; Mammalia; Rodentia; Muridae. The record is from RNAcentral.